Molecule: unclassified non-coding RNA, 484 nt
Filed under: Hevea brasiliensis (rubber tree)
Lineage: Eukaryota; Viridiplantae; Streptophyta; Magnoliopsida; Malpighiales; Euphorbiaceae
Source: RNAcentral
UCUCCUAUGAAAAUUAUAUGGAAAAGGGGUUUCAUUCGGUUGGUUCUUGUGGGCGGAAUUAUUUGGGGUCUGCUCAUUCUAACCGCAUUGUUAUUCCACGCUUGGUCUUGCCAGUCGUCUAUCGCAUUCUUUUCAGCCCUUUGUAACAAAAGCAGUGUAAUUUAUGGAGCAAUACAGAGCCUGGGACUUGUGACACCUCCACAUCGUUGUUCUAUUCCUGUAGCAGAUGACCCGAAUAAGAUUGUCAUUCCACAAAAGAGAUCCACCGAAAAAUUUGUGCAAUCACUGUCUUACUUCAUGGAGGACUUUACAGAAACCAAUGGGACUCGGUCACCACCUUUAUUUGGAGGACAUAUAACAUGGCAACAGAGAGAUGAGAGCUUUAAAGUGAAACCAACCAUGAAGGUGCACUGUGGAUUUAUACGAAAUGGUGGUGCAGAAAUGGCUCAGAAAGACGUCAAAUUUGUCGAGAAAUGUCGAUUUG